GUGAGAUCACUUUAGUGUAUGAAUGAAUAUUGAGGCUCCUUCAAGGGAGGUUAUCCCUAAUACUCUGACGGUCUUUCAUUCUCAAAUAGAGAGGAUCGACGCGGGUGGUGAGAGUAGUGGGAAGUCCUAGGGUAGACGCUUUCACUGGAGGUCUAUUCCGCGGUAACGGACUAGCCUUGUGUGUGGUCGGGUGAAACCCCUCGGCAAUGGCUUUGCAAAGCAGUAGAGUCCACCACAAGUGCACAACCUGCCCAAGAUCAAUAUUCAUUCCUAGUCCGGACGAGUCUGGGUCAAUUAGGAUUUAUUUAUUGAUUGUUGCUUGUAUGCUCUGUUUCUUGAAAAUGCAUUGAAUAUGUUUAUGUUUUAAAUACUAGCUCACCCUUGCAAUGUAUGUGUGUAUUUUGCAUGUUUCUGGUCUUCCCUUCUUGCGAUGAUCAUCCUACUUUUGGAUGUGAGCAGAACCAGUAGAUGACACGCCUUUGGAGCAAGCUCUGGACAGUGG
This 502-nucleotide long non-coding RNA is filed under the name Vigna radiata. Its description in RNAcentral is "long non-coding RNA (VRAD_LNC003857)". Lineage: Eukaryota; Viridiplantae; Streptophyta; Magnoliopsida; Fabales; Fabaceae. The record is from RNAcentral.